This 88-nucleotide transfer RNA is filed under the name Escherichia coli. Its description in RNAcentral is "tRNA-Ser". Lineage: Bacteria; Pseudomonadati; Pseudomonadota; Gammaproteobacteria; Enterobacterales; Enterobacteriaceae. The record is from RNAcentral. RNAcentral also lists the same sequence under 3 other names.
GUUGAUGUUUCGUUUGAUGAACGGACCGGUCUCGAAAACCGGAGUAGGGGCAACUCUACCGGGGGUUCAAAUCCCCCUCUCUCCGCCA